RNAcentral lists this ribosomal RNA (403 nucleotides) under Pseudomonas sp. 19(2012). Its description in RNAcentral is "bacterial SSU rRNA". It matches the Rfam family "Bacterial small subunit ribosomal RNA", at positions 988 to 1393 of the family's 1533-position model. Lineage: Bacteria; Pseudomonadati; Pseudomonadota; Gammaproteobacteria; Pseudomonadales; Pseudomonadaceae. The record is from RNAcentral.
GAAAGKRRACUUUCAGAGAUGGAUUGGUGCCUUCGGGAACUCUGACACAGGUGCUGCAUGGCUGUCGUCAGCUGGACGKGRGAUGUUGGGUUAAGUCCCGUAACGAGCGCAACCCUUGUCCUUAGUUACCAGCACCUCGGGUGGGCACUCUAAGGAGACUGCCGGUGACAAACCGGAGGAAGGUGGGGAUGACGUCAAGUCAUCAUGGCCCUUACGGCCAGGGCUACACACGUGCUACAAUGGUCGGUACAAAGGGUUGCCAAGCCGCGAGGUGGAGCUAAUCCCAUAAAACCGAUCGUAGUCCGGAUCGCAGUCUGCAACUCGACUGCGUGAAGUCGGAAUCGCUAGUAAUCGUGAAUCAGAAUGUCACGGUGAAUACGUUCCCGGGUCUUGUACACACCGA